GUGGGGAAUCUUGCGCAAUGGGCGAAAGCCUGACGCAGCCAUGCCGCGUGAAUGAUGAAGGUCUUAGGAUUGUAAAAUUCUUUCACCGGGGACGAUAAUGACGGUACCCGGAGAAGAAGCUCCGGCUAACUUCGUGCCAGCAGCCGCGGUAAUACGAAGGGGGCUAGCGUUGCUCGGAAUUACUGGGCGUAAAGGGCGCGUAGGCGGACAGCUUAGUCAGAGGUGAAAGCCCAGGGCUCAACCUUGGAAUUGCCUUUGAUACUGGCUGUCUUGAGUUUGGGAGAGGUGCGUGGAACUACGAGUGUAGAGGUGAAAUUCGUAGAUAUUCGGAAGAACACCAGUGGCGAAGGCGACUCACUGGCCCAAUACUGACGCUGAGGCGCGAAAGCGUGGGGAGCAAACAGGAUUAGAAACCCUUGUAGUCC
Molecule: ribosomal RNA, 425 nt
Filed under: uncultured bacterium
Lineage: Bacteria
Description: partial 16S ribosomal RNA
Rfam family: Bacterial small subunit ribosomal RNA
Source: RNAcentral